GGGCUACCCAGGGGACGUGGUCCACCAGGUCUACCCAAGGAGGGGGUGGCCACCAGGGAAGUGGCCACCAGACCCAGGGAAGUGGCCACCAAGUCUAGGCAGGGAGGUGAUGGACACCAGGUCUACCCAGUGGAACUGGCCACCAGGUCUACCCAUGGAAAAACUGGCCACCAGGUCUACCCAGUGGAACUGGUCACCAGGUCUACCCAUGGAAGAGCUGGCCACCAGGUCUACCCAGGGGAACUGGCCACCAGGUCUACCCAAGGAAGGAGUGACCAUCAGGUCUACCCUGGGGAACUGGCCACCAAGUCUACCCAGGGGAAGGGGCCACCAGGUCUACCCAGGGAGGGGGUGACCACCAGAUCCAUGUGGCCACCAGGGCAAGCCAAGGCGGGGGGGAGGAGGAGAAGGAGGGAGGAGGACACUGGCCACCUGCUCGAGCCAUGGAGGAGGUGGCCAUCAUGGCUACUGAGGGGAAGUGGCCACCAGACCCAGGGAAGUGGCCACCGGGUCUAGGCAGGGAGGAGAAGGCCACCAGGUCUACCCAGUGGAACUGGCCACCAGGUCUAUCCAUGGAAAAACUGGCCACCAGGUCUACCCAGGGAGGGGGUGGACACCAGGGAAGUGGCCACCAGACCCAGGGAAGUGGCCACCAAGUCUAGGCAAGGAGGAGAUGGCCACCAGGUCUACCCAGUGGAACUGGCCACCAGGUCUACCCAUGGAAAAAACUGGCCACCAGGUCGACCCAGAUCAACUGGUCACCAGGUCUACCCAUGGAAGAACUGACCACCAGGUCUACCCAGGGAGGAGGUGGCCACUGGGUCUACCCAGGGGAAGGGGCCACCAGGUCAACCGAGGGAGGGGGUGGCCACUGCUCGAGCCAUGGAGGAGGUGGCCAUCAUGGCUACUGAGGGGAAGUGGCCACCAGACCCAGGGAAGUGGCCACCGGGUCUAGGCAGGGAGGAGAAGGCCACCAGGUCUACCCAGUGGAACUGGCCACCAGGCCUACCCAGGGGAAACUGGUCACCAGGUCUACCCGUGGAAGAACUGGCCACCAGGUCUACCCAGGGGAACUGGCCACCAGGUCUACCCAAGGAAGGAGUGACCAUCAGGUCUACCCUGGGGAACUGGCCACCAAGUCUACCCAGGGGAAGGGGCCACCAGGUCUACCCAGGGAGGAGCUGGUCACCUUGGCUACCAAGGGGAAGUGGCCACCAGACCGAGGGAAGUGGCCACCUGGUCUAGGCAGGGAGGAAAAGGCCACCAGGUCUACCCAGGGGAACUGGCCACGGGGUCUACCUGUGGAAGAACUGGCCACCAGGUCUACCCAAGGAAGGAGUGACCAUCAGGUCUACCCUGGGGAACUGGCCACCAAGUCUACCCAGGGGAAGGGGCCACCAGGUCUACCCAGGGAGGGGGUGACCACCAGAUCCAUGUGGCAACCAGGGCAACCCAAGGUGGGGGAGGGGAGGAGAAGGAGGGGGGAGGACACUGGCCACCAGCUUGAG
Molecule: long non-coding RNA, 1508 nt
Filed under: Calidris pugnax (ruff)
Lineage: Eukaryota; Metazoa; Chordata; Aves; Charadriiformes; Scolopacidae
Description: lncRNA (ENSCPUG00000006657.1)
Source: RNAcentral